Molecule: ribosomal RNA, 292 nt
Filed under: uncultured microorganism
Description: partial 16S ribosomal RNA
Rfam family: Bacterial small subunit ribosomal RNA
Source: RNAcentral
GUGCCAGCAGCCGCGGUAAUACGUAGGGUGCGAGCGUUGUCCGGAAUUAUUGGGCGUAAAGGGCUCGUAGGCGGCCUGUCGCGUCUGCUGUGAAAGCCCGGGGCUCAACCCCGGGUCUGCAGUGGAUACGGGCAGGCUAGAGUCCGGCAGGGGAGACUGGAAUUCCUGGUGUAGCGGUGAAAUGCGCAGAUAUCAGGAGGAACACCGGUGGCGAAGGCGGGUCUCUGGGCCGGUACUGACGCUGAGGAGCGAAAGCGUGGGGAGCGAACAGGAUUAGAUACCCUGGUAGUCC